ACUCAACAGAUUUUUAAUUAAAAAGGGUGAGUUUAGGCUGUAAAAGCGGGCCCUACUCGUAUAGGGAUACUUGAGCAGUCUGGUAGCCCUAAACCUGUCACGAGGAGUUU
Molecule: small RNA, 110 nt
Rfam family: 6S-Flavo RNA
Source: Rfam